This 1159-nucleotide ribosomal RNA is filed under the name human gut metagenome. Its description in RNAcentral is "bacterial LSU rRNA". It matches the Rfam family "Bacterial large subunit ribosomal RNA", at positions 1404 to 2497 of the family's 2925-position model. The record is from RNAcentral.
GCAAAACCGAGACGGUGAGUACUAACCUCCGCCUCGUGGUGGUUCCUUCCUUCGGGUUGGUUCCGCCGCGUGGUGUUGGGAGCGUAGCCGCAGUAGGUCAGCGCAGGGGUGACACGGAAUGGGAGCCGGCCGCGGAGGUGGUUUUCCGUGGUCAAGCACGCAGCCAGUCAUGUAGGCAAAUCCGCAUGGCGUGCAUGGCGAGGUGUGAUGAUGGGAGCCGUUAUGGCUCGAUAUCCGGUUGUCCAGGCCGUCGAGAAAAGCCUCGGCGUGAGGGCCAUGGCCGCCCGUACCCCAAACCGACACUGGUGGUCAGGUAGAGAAUACCAAAGCGAUCGAGCGAAUCCUGGUCAAGGAACUCGGCAAAUCACUCCCGUGCCUUCGGUAUAAGGGAGACCCACUGGGGUGAAGGACCUUGCGUCCGGAGCUUUGGUGGGUGGCACAGACCAGGGGGUAGCGACUGUUUACCAAAAACACAGGUGCAUGCGAAGGCGAAAGCCGCUGUAUAUGCACUGACGCCUGCCCGGUGCCGGAAGGUUAAGAGGAUCCGUCAGUCCUUCGGGAUGAAGCGGUGAAUUCAAGCCCCGGUAAACGGCGGUGGUAACUAUAACCAUCCUAAGGUAGCGAAAUUCCUUGUCGGGUAAGUUCCGACCUGCACGAAUGGCGUAACGACUUCCCCACUGUCUCGACCAGGAGCUCGGCGAAAUUGCAGUACGAGUAAAGAUGCUCGUUAAGCGCAGAAGGACGAAAAGACCCCGGGACCUUUACUAUACCUUGGUAUUGGCGUUAGGCGCGGAUUGUGUAGCAUAGGCGGGAGGCUUCGAAGCGUGGGCGCCAGCUCAUGUGGAGCCGCAAGGUGAAAUACCGCUCUGUUCUCGUUUGACGUCUAACCUCGACAAGUCAUCCUUGUCAGGGACAGUGCCUGGCGGGUAGUUCAACUGGGGCGGUUGCCUCCCAAAGAGUAACGGAGGCGCUCAAAGGUCCGCUCAGCCCGGUUGGCAAUCGGGUGUCGAGUGUAAUCGCACAAGCGGGCUUGACUGCGAGGACGACGGUCCGAGCAGGGACGAAAGUCGGAGAUAGUGAUCCGGUGCCGGCGCACGGGCGCGGCAUCGCUCAACGGAUAAAAGGUACUCCGGGGAUAACAGGCUGAUCAUUCCCAAGA